This 491-nucleotide ribosomal RNA is filed under the name uncultured bacterium. RNAcentral describes it as "partial 16S ribosomal RNA". It matches the Rfam family "Bacterial small subunit ribosomal RNA", at positions 28 to 507 of the family's 1533-position model. The record is from RNAcentral.
GAUGAACGCUGGCUACAGGCUUAACACAUGCCAGUCGAGGGGAAACGACGGGGAAGCUUGCUUCCCCGGGCGUCGACCGGCGCACGGGUGAGUAACGCGUAUCCAACCUGCCUCUGACUGAGGGAUAACCCGUCGAAAGUCGGCCUAAUACCUCAUGGCAUCGUCUGCGGGCAUCCAACGACGAUUAAAGAUUUCAUCGGUCAGAGAUGGGGAUGCGUCUGAUUAGCUUGUUGGCGGGGUAACGGCCCACCAAGGCGACGAUCAGUAGGGGUUCUGAGAGGAAGGUCCCCCACAUUGGAACUGAGACACGGUCCAAACUCCUACGGGAGGCAGCAGUGAGGAAUAUUGGUCAAUGGGCGAGAGCCUGAACCAGCCAAGUAGCGUGCAGGGUGACGGCCCUAUGGGUUGUAAACUGCUUUUAGGCGGGGAUAAAGUGAGGGACGUGUCCUUCAUUGCAGGUACCGCAUGAAUAAGGACCGGCUAAUUCCGUG